GGGCAGGUAGCUCAGUGGUAGAGCAUUGGACUGAAAAUCCAAGGGUCACCGGUUCAAGCCCGGUCCUGCCCA
Molecule: transfer RNA, 72 nt
Filed under: Planctomycetota bacterium
Lineage: Bacteria; Pseudomonadati; Planctomycetota
Description: tRNA-Phe
Rfam family: tRNA
About the family: Transfer RNA (tRNA) molecules are approximately 80 nucleotides in length.
Source: RNAcentral